This 1105-nucleotide long non-coding RNA is filed under the name Sus scrofa (pig). RNAcentral describes it as "lncRNA (ENSSSCG00035025187.1, ENSSSCG00055005043.1)". The record is from RNAcentral. Lineage: Eukaryota; Metazoa; Chordata; Mammalia; Artiodactyla; Suidae.
UUUUGUGUGUGUGUGUGUGCACAUCCAUGUAUCCUAGCAGGAGCAAAAAGAAUCAUAUUAAUGAGUGGGGCUUCUCUAACUGCCCAUUUAAAUUCACAUCCAUAUUUUCUCACAGCUUUUCUCCCCUAAUGCCUAAAGACAUUAUUUGUCUGACUGACUGGGGGUAAUAAAUGAAUGGUCCUGAGCCUUUUUGGAAACGUGGUCUCUGCCACUGUUUCUCAAACAGAAAAAUUUGUCAAGAUGCAACACCUCAAUUUUUUUUUGAGAUCCUAAAGAGUAUGUGUUUUGAGAAACACUGACUUAAAGUUAUUUGAAAUGAAAACAUGUUUUUCAAUUUCAAGUUAUCUUUGUUGAAGACAUAAUUUAUAUAAUUUAUGUAGAACUUAGGGAUCCAUGAUAAUAUAUCCACAAACCCCCAGGGUUCUUAUCACCCCAAUUUGAGAAACACUGGUCUAUGCUUAUGAGAUCUUUUAUUGCUACUAACCUAAGCGAAUUAUUCAUUAUUAACACACAACAAUAACUACUUGUUGGAAUUUUUUUAAAGGGAUGAAUUCUGAGCCGGUACCCCCACCUCAAGAGGAAGGAUGGAUCAAUUUUAGGUGAAUUGAAGCCUAUACUAAACAGCCUCCAAAGGAUAUUCCAAGCAAGUGAGCCCUGAGACUGCAAGCAGCUCUAAGAAGUUCCGCAUUGAUCAGGUCUUCCCUUUUGAGAAUCUGGAUAAGCUCCAACCAAUCUAAAAGGAUGGUUUGCAGACUGUCUGGAGAAAAAGGAAAACAGGGACAACAACUGCCAUAUCUUACAUUCAUCAUGACAUUCAUCAUGAGCAGAUCAUAAUUCUGGACCCUUUGAUCCCCAAAGCCUCCCUUGAGGCCCUGUUGGAGAACUUCACCAAUCAUUUAUAUACUUCAAGAUGCCUUGGGAUAACUGGACAAAACAAAAAAACAACCUGUUUGAGAAGAUAAAACAGUUGUAUCUUUUUAUGCUGUGCCUGCUAAUUGAAAGAAGCCUCAUAACUAUGAAUGUGAACCUGACUAGGAAUGGAACAAAGUUAUCUAUCAUCAGCCUGGAUCUAAAGAAUCAGGACCCUGCAUACUCUAGCUCCUGA